CAAGAAGACCCCUAAGAAUUUUAAAAAUAGUAAUUUUUAGUUUCAAAGAAUGCUAUUUUUUAGUUGGGGCAACUAAGAAAUAUUAUAAACUUUUUUAAAAUAAAAUGAUCCAUUAUUAAUGAUUAUUUGAAAAAAUACUCUAGGGAUAACAGCGUAAUAAUUUUUGAUAGAACAUAUAGACAAAAUAGUUUGCGACCUCGAUGUUGGAUUAGGAUACUUUUUUAAUGAAGAUGUUAAAAAAAGAAGUUUGUUCAACUUUUAAAGUCCUACUUGAUCUGAGUUCA
Molecule: ribosomal RNA, 284 nt
Filed under: Dermacentor hunteri
Lineage: Eukaryota; Metazoa; Arthropoda; Arachnida; Ixodida; Ixodidae
Description: partial 16S ribosomal RNA
Rfam family: Bacterial large subunit ribosomal RNA (bases 145-284)
Source: RNAcentral